UAUCUGGAGGUGUAAGAUGCACGUAAAUUUUUGAUAUUUAAGGGGAUAGUUUAAUUCUAUUCUAGGUAA
Molecule: transfer RNA, 69 nt
Filed under: Caenis pycnacantha
Lineage: Eukaryota; Metazoa; Arthropoda; Insecta; Ephemeroptera; Caenidae
Description: tRNA-Gln
Source: RNAcentral